AUUGAACGCUGGCGGCAGGCCUAACACAUGCAAGUCGAACGGUAACAGGAAACAGCUUGCUGUUUCGCUGACGAGUGGCGGACGGGUGAGUAAUGUCUGGGAAACUGCCUGAUGGAGGGGGAUAACUACUGGAAACGGUAGCUAAUACCGCAUAACGUCGCAAGACCAAAGAGGGGGACCUUCGGGCCUCUUGCCAUCGGAUGUGCCCAGAUGGGAUUAGCUAGUAGGUGGGGUAACGGCUCACCUAGGCGACGAUCCCUAGCUGGUCUGAGAGGAUGACCAGCCACACUGGAACUGAGACACGGUCCAGACUCCUACGGGAGGCAGCAGUGGGGAAUAUUGCACAAUGGGCGCAAGCCUGAUGCAGCCAGGCCGCGUGUAUGAAGAAGGCCUUCGGGUUGUAAAGUACUUUCAGCGGGGAGGAAGGGAGUAAAGUUAAUACCUUUGCUCAUUGACGUUACCCGCAGAAGAAGCACCGGCUAACUCCGUG
This 490-nucleotide ribosomal RNA is filed under the name uncultured bacterium. RNAcentral describes it as "partial 16S ribosomal RNA". It matches the Rfam family "Bacterial small subunit ribosomal RNA", at positions 30 to 507 of the family's 1533-position model. The record is from RNAcentral.